GGGAACUCCCUGACCCCUUGCGCUUUCUGAGUGAGGCAGUGCCUCGCCCUGCUUCGGCUCGCACACGGUGCGCGCACCCACUGACCUGCGCCCACUGUCUGGCACUCCCUAGUGAGAUGAACCCGGUACCUCAGAUGGAAAUGCAGAAAUCACCCGUCUUCUGCGUCGCUCACGGUGGGAGCUGUAGACUGGAGCUGUUCCUAUUCGGCCAUCUUGGCUCCUCCGCAUUUGUUUUUAUGGUGGGUUUUGUAUUGUUUUUAUAGAGCUGCCCUCACAUGCUUCAGCAACAUUAGAUGUUCUGGAGACUGGAAAGUCCAAGAUCAUGGUGCCUGAGGAUUCAGUGUCUGGUGGACCCUAUUUAAUGUGGGAGAGGAAUACAUAAAAAGGUGGAUAUCAUGAGGUGAAAAUCAUUGGAGACCAUCUUGGAAGCUGUCUAACGCAACAAGAAUUAUUUUAUUUAUGAUUUAUUUGAAGUCUUUUUUUAUUUAUAAUCUGUUUUACUUGGAAUGAUUGGUUAUCAGACUCAGCACGUUUUCAAAUCUGUAUAACAGAUGCUAUCUUGUUUGUCAUUAGGUAAGUUCACCUGAAACCCUCAGGCAAGCCUUUCAGAACUAAUGCCUGUUGUAAUUCCCUUAUUUCUUAUGUGAUUUAAAUUGUGAAAAGCCCAUAUUUCUUUUGAAAAAUCAUUGCUUGUCUUUUGUCUCUGAUGUUAGCAUGUUUUCAGGCAAUGUUUUUGAAGUUAAAUAUAUUUGUUGUUUAGAGAUGACUUUUCUCUGCCCUUUUAUUUUACAUACAAGGGUACUAGUAUCCAGAGAGGUCAAGUGGCUAAGGAUGCAAAAUUUGUAAUAAAAUUUAGGUUUUCUGAAUCUU
RNAcentral lists this long non-coding RNA (870 nucleotides) under Homo sapiens (human). RNAcentral's name for it is "non-protein coding LINC02315:13". Lineage: Eukaryota; Metazoa; Chordata; Mammalia; Primates; Hominidae. The record is from RNAcentral.